Molecule: ribosomal RNA, 253 nt
Filed under: uncultured prokaryote
Description: partial 16S ribosomal RNA
Rfam family: Bacterial small subunit ribosomal RNA
Source: RNAcentral
CACGUAGGGGGCAAGCGUUGUUCGGAAUUACUGGGCGUAAAGGGCACGUAGGCGGUUCUGUAAGCCUGACGUGAAAGGCUAUGGCUUAACCAUGGCAUUGCGUUGGGAACUGCGGGACUUGAAUCACGGAGAGGGAGCUGGAAUUCCAGGUGUAGGGGUGAAAUCUGUAGAUAUCUGGAAGAACACCAAUGGCGAAGGCAAGCUCCUGGCCGAUGAUUGACGCUGAGGUGCGAAAGUGUGGGGAUCAAACAGG